GAUGAACGCUGGCGGCGUGCCUAAUACAUGCAAGUCGAGCGAACAGAUGAGGAGCUUGCUCCUCUGACGUUAGCGGCGGACGGGUGAGUAACACGUGGAUAACCUACCUAUAAGACUGGGAUAACUUCGGGAAACCGGAGCUAAUACCGGAUAAUAUAUUGAACCGCAUGGUUCAAUAGUGAAAGACGGUUUUGCUGUCACUUAUAGAUGGAUCCGCGCCGCAUUAGCUAGUUGGUAAGGUAACGGCUUACCAAGGCAACGAUGCGUAGCCGACCUGAGAGGGUGAUCGGCCACACUGGAACUGAGACACGGUCCAGACUCCUACGGGAGGCAGCAGUAGGGAAUCUUCCGCAAUGGGCGAAAGCCUGACGGAGCAACGCCGCGUGAGUGAUGAAGGUCUUCGGAUCGUAAAACUCUGUUAUUAGGGAAGAACAAAUGUGUAAGUAACUAUGCACGUCUCGACGGUACCUAAUCAGAAAGCCACGGCCAACUACGUG
This 497-nucleotide ribosomal RNA is filed under the name uncultured bacterium. RNAcentral's name for it is "partial 16S ribosomal RNA". It matches the Rfam family "Bacterial small subunit ribosomal RNA", at positions 28 to 507 of the family's 1533-position model. The record is from RNAcentral.